AGCGAACGCUGGCGGCAGGCCUAACACAUGCAAGUCGAACGGACAUUUCGGGGUUUGUGGCGGACGGGUGAGUACCACGUGGGGACGUGCCCUUAGGUUCGGAAUAGCUCCUGGAAGCGGGUGGUAAUGCCGCAUGUGCUCUUAGGGGGUAGGAUCUAUCGCUUCUAGGGCGGCCCGCGUAUGUUUCGCUAGUUGGUUGAGGUCACGGCACAUCUAGGCGUCGAUCAGUAGCUGGGCGGAGAGGAUGGCCAGCCGCAUUGGGACUGAGACACGGCCCAAACUCCGACGCGAGGCAGCAGUAGGGUAUCCUGCGGGAGGAGCGAAAGCCUGACGCAGCCAUGCCGCGUGAAUGAUGAAGGUCUUAGGAUUCUAAAUUUCUUUCACCGGAGACGAUAAUGACGGUACCCGGUGAAGAAGCCCCGGCUAACUUCGUG
This 434-nucleotide ribosomal RNA is filed under the name uncultured bacterium. RNAcentral's name for it is "partial 16S ribosomal RNA". It matches the Rfam family "Bacterial small subunit ribosomal RNA", at positions 29 to 507 of the family's 1533-position model. The record is from RNAcentral.